AUACGGAGGGUGCAAGCGUUAUUCGGAAUCACUGGGCGUAAAGGACGCGUAGGCGGGUUGGCAAGUCAGAUGUGAAAUCCUACAGCCUAACUGUAGAACUGCAUUUGAAACUGCUAACCUAGAGUAUGGGAGGGGGAGAUGGAAUUAGUGGUGUAGGGGUAAAAUCCGUAGAUAUCACUAGGAAUACCGAAAGCGAAGGCGAUCUCCUGGAACAUAACUGACGCUAAGGCGUGAAAGCGUGGGGAGCAAACAGGAUUAGAUACCCUAGUAGUCC
RNAcentral lists this ribosomal RNA (274 nucleotides) under uncultured bacterium. RNAcentral's name for it is "partial 16S ribosomal RNA". It matches the Rfam family "Bacterial small subunit ribosomal RNA", at positions 523 to 796 of the family's 1533-position model. The record is from RNAcentral.